GAUUAACGCUAGCGGCAGGCCUAAUACAUGCAAGUCGAGGGGCAGCAGGGUGUAGCAAUACAUCGCUGGCGACCGGCGCACGGGUGCGUAAUACAUCGGAACGUGCCCAAUCGUGGGGGAUAACGUAGCGAAAGUUACGCUAAUACCGCAUACGAUCUACGGAUGAAAGCGGGGGAUCGCAAGACCUCGCGCGAAUGGAGCGGCCGAUGUCAGAUUAGGUAGUUGGUGAGGUAACGGCUCACCAAGGCGAUGAUCGGUAGCUGGUCUGAGAGGACGAUCAGCCACACGGGAACUGAGACACGGACCCGACUCCUACGGGAGGCAGCAGUAAGGAAUAUUGGUCAAUGGAGGAAACUCUGAACCAGCUAUCCCGCGUGAAGGAUGAAGGGGCUCUGCCUUGUAAACUUCUUUUGUCUGGGGCGAAAAAGACUCGUUUACGAGUAACUGACGGUACCAGAAGAAUAAGCACCGGCUAACUCCGUGCCAGCAGCCGCGGU
Molecule: ribosomal RNA, 497 nt
Filed under: uncultured bacterium
Lineage: Bacteria
Description: bacterial SSU rRNA
Rfam family: Bacterial small subunit ribosomal RNA
Source: RNAcentral